Molecule: ribosomal RNA, 184 nt
Filed under: uncultured Clostridium sp.
Lineage: Bacteria; Bacillati; Bacillota; Clostridia; Eubacteriales; Clostridiaceae
Description: partial 16S ribosomal RNA
Rfam family: Bacterial small subunit ribosomal RNA
Source: RNAcentral
UGGGGCACUUGGGGCCUACGGGAGGCAGCAGUGGGGAAUAUUGCGCAAUGGGGGAUACCCUGACGCAGCAACGCCGCGUGGGUGAUGAAGGUCUUCGGAUUGUAAAGCCCUGUUUUCUGGGACGAUAAUGACGGUACCAGAGAGAGGAAGCCACGGCUAACUACGUGCCAGCAGCCGCGGUAAU